AUUAAAGUCUCUAUUAUUUUCCAAUGCACAUCAAUGGGAGCAUUUGCUAUAAGAAUAACUACAUGAAUAACUCUCCUCAUUCUCCAAUUUUCUUUUUCCAUUAAAUUUAUUCCCCUUCAACCUUUGGAUGAGCGACUGUUUUUUUCAAUUUUAUUUUUAGGGUUGUAUUUUCUUCUUCCUGUUUAUUGAUUUUUCCUAAAUAGUGUUGUUGUUCUCUUUAGAUUCGCACAUUCAGUCCAGGGAUCUGAACGAGAGGGUUGGAGAAAUCAGAUUCGCUUAUGCAAGAAAAAAGAGGGAGGAAGAGAUGGCUAAAGAGAAGGAGCAGAAUAAUUUAUUCAAAGUUGUUGUCAGUCAGCUUAAAGUUCCAACUGGUUAUUAUUUCACUGUGUAAUAUUUUUUGGGAUUAUAGUUAAUGGGUUUCUGUUAUUCAGAUACAAUGGAGAAAUGGGAUGCAGAAAGUAUUGGAGGCGAAGCAAAAUAAUCAGAAUAAAUCGAAAGGAGUAUAAUCAGAACAAAUCAAAAGGACUAUAAUCAAAACAAAUC
Long non-coding RNA from Vicia villosa (hairy vetch), 543 nucleotides. RefSeq lists it as uncharacterized. The transcript is spliced from 3 exons. NCBI's taxonomy places the organism in Eukaryota, Viridiplantae, Streptophyta, Magnoliopsida, Fabales, Fabaceae. The record is from RefSeq and is a predicted model, not a curated record.